CCAAAGGCUCUUCUAAGAGCCACCACAUCUUUCUUCAGAGUAAAGG
This is a non-coding RNA of Takifugu rubripes (torafugu), 46 nucleotides long. The record is from Rfam. NCBI's taxonomy places the organism in Eukaryota, Metazoa, Chordata, Actinopteri, Tetraodontiformes, Tetraodontidae.